ACGAAAACGAAAAAUAAAUAUAUUUUUUUCUCUAUUGAGUGAAAUUUUUACAAGUUUUGUAAGAUCACGAAACACGCUUAAAAUUCAAUAAUUCUAUAUCCUAAGUUUCAUAAUAUUAACAUAAAGCGGAAGGAGUUGUAAAAUUUUGUUUGAAAAGAAAACAAAAUGACUACGACGUUUCAAAACCGAUCUCGGGCGCGCGACGGUCGAUUGUUGAGAAAAUCAGUCUCGGCCAGUGACAGAAAAGUGGCCAGCAGUAUGUUAUAGAUUCGGUGUUUAGAAAGUGUUUGAAAAGACUGUCGAUGUUUGGAAAGUGGCAUCUUUCAAACAAAUGUUUUGUCGAUAUUUAUAGGAGCCCCUUUCCCGGGGGUCGUACGGUGGGUCUGUCCGGACUCCCGUCGUCUGACACUGGAGGACUUAUGUUCCGCGGAGCCAUCGGUCGCGGGAGGUCUAACCCGCCUCGUCGACGGGAGUGCGUUCCCACGAGGACUCGCGCGGAGUGACGGGACAGGGGGGCUAGAGCUCGAGUUUACUCGCUCGCCCGUCCGUCUUGAAACACGGACCAAUGAGUCUAACAUGUACGCUCGACUAAACUCUACGGCGCAAUGAAAGUGAAAAGGCGAACUCGUGUGGCAACACACAUUUUCGUCGGAGGAAGGAUGGAUUUUUUCGGAGGUUUCGAACUCGCGAGGGUUCGUUCUCCCCCGUCCCGCACUCCCGGGGAGUGGUUCGCCAAGCACCAAGAGCGUACACGUUGGUACUCGAAAGAUGGUGAACUAUGCAUGGCCAGGAUGAAGACAGGAGAAACCCUGGUGGAGGUCCGUAGCAAUUCUGACGUGGAAAUCGAUCGUCUGAGCUGUGUCUAGGGGUCAUAGACCAAUCGAACCAUCUAGUAGCUGGUUUCCUCCGAAGUUUCUCUCAGGAUAGCUGUACUCGGAAACUUGAAAUAAUCUUUAAAAAAACUAUUGAGUCUCAUGCGCUCUUACAGGUCUUAGUACCGAAACGACCCUAACCUAUUAUCAAACUUUAAAUGUGAGAGAUCUCCGCCAUCCUUGAAACUGGCAAUUUAUUUUACAUAUUGAUGGUGGAGAAAGAAGGAUAUGAGAUGUCCUGUGGGUCAUUUUUGGAAAGUAGAACUGGCGCUAUGGGAUGAACCAAACACCGAUUUAAGGCGCCAAAAUAGAAACUUAUGGGAUACCAUGAAGGACGUUGUUUCCUUAAAACAGCAGCUGUGUAACAACUCACCUACCGAAGCAACUAGCCCUGAAAAUGGAUGGCGCUGAAGCUCGUGCGUAUACUCAACCGCCGGUCGGCUUGGCUAGGUAGCCCCACACGUCCCGCGUCGGAGGAGGACCUGUGUGUCUCAGGAUCCCUGUUAAGCCCNGCGACGGUCAGCGCAGAACGGUUUGGGUGUGAGCCUGCCUGGAGCCGCCAUCAAUGCAGAUCUUGCUAGUAGUAGCAAAUACUCUUUCGAGAUCCAGGAGGUCUGAUGCGGAGAAGGGUUUCGUGUGAACAGCCGUUGCACACGAGUCAGUCGACCAUUGGCCCUAAGAGAAGUCUGAAGUUGAUGAGGGCAGUUGCCGAUAAGUAAUCUUAUUUCUGUUAAUGGCAGCCCCAUCUUGGACAAAAGGGAAACCGGGUCCUAUUCCGGAAACCGGUAGCGAAACCGAUCCUUGUCGGGCCCUCCGUCUUUUGCGGCGGCAUGUUCGUUGUGGGAACCCAAACUGGCUCGGAGAAGUCGUCUGGAGGUCAAGGAAGAGUUUUUUUCUGUUUGAGCGUUAUGAAUGGAACGCGUAGAGCACCGCUGUUGCGGAUGUGUCCCGACAUGCCCCUCGGACCUUGAAAAUCCGAGUGAGAGCCACGUGGAGGUGUCGCGCUGAUUUGUACCUAUAUCCGCAGCAGAUCUCCUAGGUGAAAAGCCUCUAGUCGGCAGAAGAAUGAAGGUAAGGGAAUUCGGCAAGUUGGAUCCGUAACUUCGGGAUAAGGAUUGGCUCUGAGGAUCGGGGCGUGUCGGGCAUGAUCGAAAUUCCGAAGAGGGCUAUCGAGCAAGACCUGGGUGAUGCGCGUUCGUCUCGCGGGACGUCGCGAUGACCCCGGUCCCUCGCCUUAGCCUCCCGCGGAUCUUCCUUGCUCCCUGAGCCGGAUCGCAAGUGAAAGGAUUCGCGUUCCGUGUUCUUUUCCCCGCUCUUUCACUGGCGGAUGAGGGGGUUCACGGACGAGUCGUUUCACACCUCACUCGCUCUCGGCAUCACCCUUCGGCCGCCGAAUAACGAUCAGCUCAGAACUGGCACGGACCAGGGGAAUCAGACAAAGCAUCGCGACGGCCCGAGAGGAUGAUGACGUGAUGUGAUUUCUGCCCAGAGCUCUUAAUGUCAAAGAGAAGAAAUUCAAGGAAUCGCGAGUGAACGGUGGGAGUAACUAUGACUCUCUUAAUGACGCGGGAGUUUUGGGAGAGCCGUGGAUGCUCCUGCCGAGAGCCCCCACUGCGCUUGCGCAGUGGUCAAGGGGUCGAUGUCUGUGGGGAAAAAAGAGGCCAUGUCAUCUGCCCGUUAUGUCGUCUCAGGAAUGCGACUCCAAGUCCCCAUUCCGAGGGUCCGGCAGGUAAGCACAGCCACCCGAGCGCAGAUAAAUGUCCAAUUUGCCUUGCUUGGACCGAACUACGGGAAGGGGUAUUACUCCGAAAGGAGGAAUAAGGACUCCAAGGCCUAACAAACCGAGGAUAUCCUAAAACAUUUUGUAGCAACUAGUAAUUACUUAGCCUCGGUCCCGGGAGCAUCUGACUCUAUGCCCCGGGUUAACGUAUGGGGAAUCCUAGACGACCAGGUGCUAAAUAGCAAAGAAUAUGAUAUCGGUACUCCCUUCGUGGUGCAGACAUGUAGAAUUUGUGAUGUAGCCGGUAUGAAAUACUUAGGCAUUACUUUGAAAGACCUUCUGGGGCACGUAGAUGAGAAGCACCACGAAAGGGGGAUAAAUUUUGUUUGUAUAACCUGCAAAAAGGUUCUCGGGCCCUAAUGGGAGACCUCGCGUAGAGCAAAAGGGCAAAAGCUUGCUUGACCUAGGCGUUCAGUACACGCAAGUGCUGCGAAUGCAUGGCCUAUCUAUCCUUUUGACUCCGAGAGUUUCUGCAAGAGGUGUCCGCCGCAAUUAUAACAGGUUUGUGGCGACCAAGCGUUCAUAGCGACGUCACUUUUUGAUCCUUCGAUGUCGGCUCUUG
Molecule: ribosomal RNA, 3214 nt
Filed under: Laupala kohalensis
Lineage: Eukaryota; Metazoa; Arthropoda; Insecta; Orthoptera; Trigonidiidae
Description: eukaryotic LSU rRNA
Rfam family: Eukaryotic large subunit ribosomal RNA
Source: RNAcentral